CCAUGUAUUAGGCCCAGCAGGCAUGCUGGGGAUUCAGAGACUCUGCCCCCCUUCUUCCCCCCAGGGCCUGACCAGGGGAGCUUACACACGUGGGCCCAGUUCCCAGAAGGCUAAGUCAGUAUGUUGAAGGCCGAGUGAAAGCCCAGCAUCCUUGGGGGCAGGGAGCAUGGCACCCGCACACCCAAGCCCAGGACGGGAGGCACCACAGCUCUCAUGCCAGCUGCCCCUGGCCCUGCCCGUGGACCAGCCUAGCGCCGCUGGGCUCACCACUCAAAUCAGCAUCUCCUCAAGGAGCCGCCCCCCAAGCUCAUUCUAAAGGAAAAGGCACACAUAUGUUUACAUGCAACUUCAGAAGGCUCAGAAGUGCUCAUUCAGAUGGCAUCACAGCUGAUGGGAGCUUGGCCCUUCCUGCCUUCCAGGUGGGGCCGGAGUUCUGGGAAAGCUGCAGGAAACCUCUCACGCGGCAGCCCCGGGCCAGGGCUGGCCGCCCACUGCUGGAGAAGAGGAGUCCUGAGCUGCCCCUCUGCUUACACUGCGUUUCCAGAAGCUGAUUAUCUGGAAGUGACUCCUGCCUUGAGCCAAGCCCUGUGCUAGGCACUUGGGGGAGGGAGAGAGACUGACCUCAUUGAAUUGAGGUGAGGUGGAGAAGGAAACCUACCCUAACCAGGGUGUGCUGGUAAGUGUUUAACAACCCGCUCUCCACAGGGAAAAAAUACCUGACUGCAGCAUUUACCAGCUCCCGUGGCAUAAAUACUCCCACCAUGGCCUAGUUCAAGAUGAUGUCUUUGGAAGAGAUUCACAGAAUCGGGUCUGGAGAGCAAGCGGGAGCCAGUUCCAAACUGACCCAAACUGACCCAUGUAAAAUGCAUGAAAAUAGAAGAGUACAUGCAAUUGUGUGGCCCCUGGAAGGAGGAGCGAUCCCUUCCGGCUGGGCUUCCCAGCUAAGCUUUGAGGAGCAAGUGGUAUUUGGUUUGGGGCUCGAGGAAGGACAGGGCUUUCUCCCGGGGAGCACUGGAUGGGAGGUCCUCCAGCUGGGGAAGAGCAGCCAGAGCCCAGGAAGCACCGAGAGGCUCAGCACGUCCGAGGUGGCAAGCCCAUGGACACCAGACCAAAUGGGCCUUAUAAACUCUGUGGAGGAGUUUGUCCUUUAGCUUUCCAGCAGUGGGGGAGGCACUGGUGCAUCUUCGGCCACUGUAGGAUCUGUUUGGUUGUGUUUCUUGUGAGUCCUGACUUGAUCAUAAUUUUUUUCUAAAAGGUUAUGUAUGUUCAUUACAAAACAAAGAAAGCAUUACCGCAAAGUUCCGAAAGAUGCCUUUUUAACAUUCGGUGACCAUCUUCCCAACAUGUCUUCAUACAUAUGUACAGACGAAAGUUUAGACAGAUAAAGUAGAAAUUACAUAAAACAAAUAAAAAUAAAAGGAAAGGAAAAAAAGAGGGAAACAUAGGAAUCAACUGGUCUUUCUUUUUACACUGGGUGUUGUCAGAACUGUGUGUGAUGUUUGGAGUGGUGGCAGUCAUCUUGCAACCCCGAGGGGAGCUACUCCAGGGUAGCACACACGCUGAGGGUGACAGAGUGGGAUGAUAGAGAGAAUGUGAGUGUUGAUGAUGAAGAGGAGCUGCUGUCCUUUACCUGUAGACCAUCAUGUGACAACUCUGGUUUUCAUACGUGUAUGGUUUCCUAUCUACCCAGAUUCUGAAUUCUCAAGGCUCAAAACCGGGUCAUAACAAAGCAUGAAGCAAGUCAGUGUGAUGUAGUUAUUCAAGAGCUCGGGCUUUGGAGUCAAACCAACCUGUAUUUGAACUAUCGCUCCUUAUGGGGGAACUACUUAAUCUCUUAGUGCCACAAUUUUCUCAUCUAUCUCU
This is a long non-coding RNA of Manis pentadactyla (Chinese pangolin), 1863 nucleotides long. RefSeq lists it as uncharacterized. NCBI's taxonomy places the organism in Eukaryota, Metazoa, Chordata, Mammalia, Pholidota, Manidae. The record is from RefSeq and is a predicted model, not a curated record. The transcript is spliced from 3 exons.